Monodelphis domestica (gray short-tailed opossum) is the source of this 6946-nucleotide non-coding RNA. The record is from RefSeq and is a predicted model, not a curated record. Lineage: Eukaryota; Metazoa; Chordata; Mammalia; Didelphimorphia; Didelphidae.
UGACCAGGACAAUUGGAUUGAUUAAAAUUAUUCUAAACUUGGGAGGAAAAUAAAAGAAGAAAACUAAUCCUAAAAAAAAAGCAAAACAAAUAUAGGAACCUAAUAACACUAUCAUCUGUUCCCUUUGAGAAUACUCAAAACAAUCCAUUUUCUUUCAGAAUACACAAGAAAGAGGAAUGUUUCCCAUGUUCCUUUGACAUUUUCCUUCUCUCCUCCCUAGAGAGCAACAGUCAGAAAGGAAAGAAAGUUAUAGUUAUGUUCUUUGGACAUUAUCAGUGGGUCCUGGAACUAUAGGACUAAUCCAAAAUAGAAGUCUGGUGAGGGAAGAUUUGGGGUCUUAUUCUAAUUUUGCCCUCCAUUUUCAGAUAUUCAUACCCUUUAUAUUUUCUCUCCCUUCAUAGAUGUUCAAGUUUUCAAUUUUUCCUUUCACAAUAAGAUGUAAAUGACCAGUGAUUUAAAUUUUUCUCUCUCCUACUUACAGGCUUCCUUUCUUGGGUUCUUUAAAGGCUUAGAUAACGCUUAGGUCACUGGCCUCUUUAAGUCCCAUCAAAAAUCCUGUCUUCUAUAGGAACACUUUCCCAACCUCUUUUAAUUCUAGAGCACUGAGCCUGGUGUCUUCCCUCCAUAAAUUAUUUCCUACUUAUUCUAUAAAUAGCUUCCUUGUACAUAAAUGUUUGCUUGUUGACUCCCAAUUAGAUUGUGGACUCCUUGAGAGCAGAGACUGUCUUUUGUCUCUUUUAAGUACGCCCAGUUUUUAGCAGAGUGCCUGGAACAUAGUAAGUGCUUCAUAAAUGUCUAUUUGCUAACCCAACACUCCAGAGGAGUGCCCAAGGCAUCUGGACUUAGCUCUUUGUUUUGUUUUGUUUUUUUUCCUGGUAUCAGCCAUGGCAAAAUAUUGAAUCUAUCUACUACCAAAAGGAGGAAAAAGUUAUAGGUUUUCAUUUGUGAAAAUAUCAAUUUUGAAAAUGCAAACUCUACUUCCUUUUUUCUUUUUUUUAAUUCCAAAUUUUACAAAACCAAAUAAAACAAGCAUUUCCAUAUACAAAGAAGAUUGUACAUAAACGAAAUAUAAUCUCUUAAGUUUAACUACUUAUCUUCAUAUCUACAUAAUAAAUCCCAUCCACAAAUGUCCCAAACCCUCCCCACCCUCCUCUCAUUCAGAAGUUUUGGUAUAUGACUGAUAUGUUCAUACAAAUUAAGAUUUUCAUGUUUUCACCUUUCAGUUCACUGUCUGGAGGUAAUAUUCACAAUUUAUUCUUCCAGUAUCAGUUCUACAGUUGUAUAUAAUGUUCUCUUGGUUCUACUUAUUUCACUGUUUAUUAUCUUAUGUAGUCCUUUCAAAGUUUUUUUUUUUUAAAUUAGCCUGCUGAUCCCUUCUUAUUGCACAGUAGUAUCCCAUCACAAUCAAAUAUCAUAAUUUGUUUAGUCACUCUUCAAUUGAAGGGCAUCCCCUAAAUUUCCAAUUCUUUGCCAUGUUUUUGUUUUUAUCACUGGCUUUCUUACAACAUACCUAGAAAUUUGUAGAUGAUAGAAAACUUGGGAGUAUAGUUAGUAAACUAAAUAUCAGACUUUGGAUUCUUAAAGAUAUGGAAUGUUUAAAAUAUUUAACUGAAUUUAAUAAGACAAAUUUUUAAAAAAUAAAUGUGUAAUCUUUCACUUAGACUCAAAAAUUCAACUUCAUUGGAAGAAGUAUAAUUAAUUGGCAGUUUCAAAAAAUCUGGGAGUUUGGUGGACAACAAACUCAAUAUAAGUCAAUAAUGUGAUUAGUUGUUGUUCAGUCUUUUUCAAUUGUGCCUAUUGCAAAAAGGAAAUGUAGGCUAGAUAUCUAGAAAAACUUUCUCUUACAAUUAAAUUUAUAUGAAAAUAGAAUGGGUUUCCUGGGGGGUUAGUGGCUUUUCCCUAUUUGAAGGUCAUUAAAUAAAAGCAUGAUGGCCCAUUUGUAAUGAUGCAGAGAGUAUUCUUCAAGCUGCUUGGGUUAGGCUAGAUCUCUAAAGAGCUCCCUCCUCGCUAAUUAUUCUGUGACUAAACCAGGAGUAGUAGAGUGUAGAAUGUUAGAAAGAGAAUACAGGUGAGCAGGGUUUAGGAAACCUGUCUUUUAAGGACCACAGUUUGAUGCCUUUUGAAUGAGUUGUUGUUCAGUCAUUUUUCAGUUGUGACCAACUCUUUAUGACUCCAUUGUUUUCUUGGCAUAGAUACUAAAAUGAUCUCCUGUUUCCUUCUCCAGUUCAAUUAACAGAUGAGGAAACUGAGGUAAGCAGAGUUAGGUGGCUUGCCCAGAGUCACAAAGCUAUGAAGUAUCUAAGGUUAGACUUGAACUCAUGAUGAUGUCUCCCUAUGCCAACUAGCUAUCCAGGGUUUCCUAUGAUCAUAACUACCUCUGUGCCCAUGAGAAACAAUCUUCCUAGGUCUCAUUUUCUUCAUCUGUAAAAUGAGUGGAUCCUGAGAUUCCUUGCUAAUCUAAUUCAAUUACCCUAUAGAAGACUAUUUAAACUUUAAAGCAACCAUCCAUUUAGCAACUAUUUAUUGAAAGCCUACUAUGGAGGCAGGUAGGCGACUCAGUGUAUACAAAGCUAGAGACAGGAGGUCCUGGGUUCAAAUGUGACCCAGAUACUUCCUAACUGUAUGACCCUGAGCAAGUCAUUUAACCUCCAUUGGCUAGCCCUUACCACCCUUCUACCUCGAAACUAAUAUACAGUAUUGAUUCUAAGAUAGAAGGUAGGGAGGGAAAAAAAAAGGAAAGCCUUUUUACACAAAACACUCAUCUUCAGAGCAAAUAUUAGAGAUGUUAAAGAGAGAGAUUGAUUCUAAAAAACUAUGGUAUUAGACUAAAUGAUCUUUAAUAUAAUUCAUUUAUCUAGUGUUUUAAAGUUUGAAAAGUUUUUUAAUGUAUUAUCUCAUUUGAUCUUUUUAACAACCUGUGAGCUUGGCUCUGUUAUUAUCCUCAUUUAACAGAUUUUGAACCUGAAUCUCAGAGAGAUUAAGUAACUCACUAAGAGUCACUAAGCUAGAAAAAAUAUAAGGUGGGAUUUGAAUUCAAGGUUUUCUGAUGCUAAGUCCAUUACUCUAAUAACAAUAAUAAAUAUGAUUUAUAUAAUGCCUUAAGGUAAAAAAAGUUUUUUAAUGUAUUAUUUCGUUUUAUCCUCACAACAACCCUGAGAGGUAAGUGAUAUUAUUUUUCCAUUUGUUGAUUUUGUUGUUUAGUUGUUUUUGGUCAUGUCAGACUCUUCAUGACCCUAUUUGGGAUUUUCCUGACAAAGAUACUGUACUGGUUUGGCAUUUCCUUCUUCUCUGGUUCUUUUUCCAGAUGAGAAAACUGAUGCAUAGAGGGUUAAGUGAAUUUCCCAGGGUCACACAACUAGUGAACUGUCUGAGACAAUAUUUGAACUCUGGAAGAAGGGUCUUCCAAGUCCAGAACUCUAUCUACUGCACCACCUAGUUGACCCACUAGUUAUUUUAUAGGUAAGGAAACGUUGGGAUUUUUAAUUUUAGGAAGCAAGGAUUCUAUGGCUUGACCAAGGUGACACAGCUAGUAAAUGUCUGAGGCCAGAUUUGAAGUCAGUUCUUCUUGACUCCAGCCCCAGUAAUCUUUCCAUUGUGUCACUUAGCUGCCUUUACACUAAAGCUAUCACAAAUCACACAUAGCCACCCCAAAAAAAUCAAAGAAUAGAAUGGAUUCUUUCCUCUUCUUAAUUUUAUUAUUUAUUACAUUAUCUCUAUCUCCACAUUGCCUUUUGAUCUAAAGUCAAUUUAAGUUUCAAAAUUACUCUUAGCAUUUAUUUUAGUAUGAUUUUACCUGAUGAAAAAGUUCCCAGGGAAGAUCUUGCCUAGAGACAUGGUAAUAUGUGGUCAAUUUUUCCUCCACUGACAUUCUUCAUCACAUCUUUCAUUCUUUAUUCCAUAAUAACUUCUUUCAUCACUGACACAGUUCUUAAGACUGAAUAUAGAAGGACUUAUAGAUAAAUAGCAGACCAAAGAUUUUCUGGAACAGUAUGAUUCUACAACAAGUCUUGAUGGCUCAAAAGAUUAUGAAAAAGACAUAGUAUCUCCUCCCUAUUUAGCUGACCAUAGCAUUUAUGACUGAUGCACAAAGCAGACAGAUAAUCAGAGUCUGAAGACAUCUAAGGCAAGAGUUGUUCACUAAGAUUCAUUGGCCUACUCAAUGGGUACAUUGAUAGAUUUCAGAAGCAUAUAUAAACUUGGAUGAUAAAAUUCACAGUUUUAUUUCAAUAGAACUGGUUUCCUUUGUAAUCCUGUGUAUUCUAUGUGUUUAAAAUCAUUGUUCUAAGAAGUCCAGGCUCCACAGACUUUAGUUCAUGACACAAAAAUGGUUAAGAACCCUGUUUACCUAGCCACUUGUUGGGUGUCCCUAAAGACUAAAAUGCAGUGAUGGGACAGUGACCUCAGAUCUCCAUCCAAAUUGUCCACAUUACUCAGGGGAAGCCAAAACCAAUGAAAUAGAGAAAAGAAUCCAGUAAAAUUACAACCAAAAAUGAUUACUUUCGGUCCCUUAUCUGUGGAACAUGCAUUUCUUUGUAUGCCAGAUUGUCUAAUGAAUCUUUUAGGUAUUUAUUUUGUAUUUAUUUAUUAUGUAAAUUUAUUUAUUUAUGUUUUUAUUAAUUUAUUAUGUAAAUUUAUUUAUUAUGUAAAUUAAGAGCAACAACCCAAUAUACUGAUACUGGUGAUAUCUCAUUACAUCUGCCAGAAAAAUCUCUGAAAGAUUUUCCAUUGCUGUUCUUAGAUUUAGUCAGUACAGAGGAUGACUUAGAUUCAAUCUAUUCUAUACCUGAGGAUAUCCCUGAAGAUCUUUGGUCAAAGUCUUCCACAGAUAAUUCCUCAAACAUGUUCUUCACCAGUACUUCCAGAUUGGUAUCAACUACCACAAUCAAUGCUGUCUUUGGAAUUACACAUCUAUAAAUAUUCUUCAGAGGGUUCCAGAAGUUUCACAGAAAAAGAAUCCAGAAACUGAGUACUCCUAAGAUCAAAAAUCAACUCAGAGCUGUUCUUGGAAUAACUGGUUUCUGUAGACAAUGGAUACCUGGAUAUAGUGAAUUAACAAAGUGUCUAACAGAUUCCUAACCAGGAAUACAGAACCAGAACCUCUGAAACUAAGGUCUGAACAUCUGCAAGCCUUAAGUAAGUUGAAAGAAGUCAUCUUAUCUGCUCUAGCUUUGGGUAUCCCAGACUAUACAAAACCAUUCCAACUAUUUGUCACUGAAACUAAAGGUAUUGCUUCUAUGGUACUGAAAUAGACUUUAGGACAAAAUUAGCAUCCAAUUGGAUAAUAUAGUUGUCAUCUUGAUUCAAUAACUGCUGGUGCAGUUCCUUAUCUAAGGGGUAUAGCAGCUGCAACUGUGUUAGUCCAGAAGUCAGCAGAUUUAGUUGUACCAUUUACCAUAGACUCUGAUAGGGGAUCUCAUUUUACCCAAGAUAUCCUGAAAAGAUUCUAUGAAAAUCUAGGAAUAACACCCAAAUAUCAUGUUCUUUAUCACCCACAAAGUUCAGGUCAAGUGGAGUGUGUGAAUAGGGAACUCAAGACUAUGGUGGGGAAAAUCUGUGCUGAAACUCAUCUAAAAUGGCUAGAUAUUCUUCCCAUAGCUUUGUUUUACCUACAUACAAGAACAAGAGCAGAUUUACAUAUAUCAUCUUAAGAAAUGCUGUUUGGACAUACUCCAUUGUAGGCAAAAACUUGUAGGACAAUGUAUUCAUCUCUCUUAGAAGGAGAUUGUCAACAUGCUUCAUAUUUAAGUGCAUUGCAACAACAGCUUAGAGAACUGCAUUAUUUGGGAGUAUUGAUCCAAUCUGGUCCAUUGGAUUGUUUUCUUCAUAAUUUUCAACCAGGUGAUAUAGUAUAUGUAAAAAAUUUUGCAAAAACAUCAAGGUGGGUAGGUCCUUAUACAACUGUGUUAAUUUCUCCAUCUUCAUAAAAGUAUUAGGUAGAGAUUCAUGGUAUCAUUUUUCACAUAUAAAAUUAGCUUAUGGAAUUAAUAAUGAAAGUGUACAAUUUAUUGAAGAAGAAAAUGAAGACUAAUAAAUCGUGAGGAGCUGAGAUUCAUCGGGCAAAUAGAGUCUACAGUCAGAAAGAUCAAUAAGAAGAGGACCAUUCCAGUGGAUGAGGAUAUUUGGAUGGAAGAGGACAAUGCAGAUCAAGAGGAGGAUUCAGAAAUUAAUGGACAUUGUAAAAGACUUGAAAGACUAAUAAAUAUUAAAAAGAUAAAGACUUUGCAGGAAAUUUUCAAUGAAGAGGAUCAAGUAAUUAAUGAAUUCAUAGAUUAAAAUUUUGGGGGUUAAUGUAAUAUAACACAAAACAACAUAACAUAAAUUCACAUAAGCAUUCAUAAUUACAUUUUACUACCAUAGAUUGUGGAGAGGAAGAAUUCUUCAAAUAAGUUGAGAAGAGAAGGAAUAAUUUGAAGUUUCGGUAAGUAUAUUGCAUGCAACCAUAACACAACACUACCACAACAGUAUCACUGACAUGACACUAACAAAACAACAUAACAGAGCAUGAAUAACAACAUAACAAACACAUAUACACAAAAACAUAAACAUGGUUAGGUUACAUUGAAUCACUAGUUGAAUGAGUGAAACAACGUAUAGUUAGAGUACUAUAAUGUUAUAAUUAGUUAUAAAUUAGUUAAUAACAAAAUUAGUUAGCUACUUAGUUUGGUAUAGGCAUAUAGGUAAGUAAGACUAGUUUUAGGAGAUUUUAGAACAUAGGGCUUUAGUUAGAUAAGAUUAGAAUUUAAGACAGAUAAUAAUAUAAAGUAAGAUAUUGAACUAUACUACAACAUACAUUGCAACAUACAUUAUAUAGCACAAAUGACAUCACAUAUAUGAAAAUUGUAAAUAUAUGUAAAUAGUGUGUAUAAUAGGAUUAUAAAAUUAAUUUAUUAUAGUGCAUGUAUAUGUAUAUAUGGAACAUGUAUAAAUAUGAAGUAUAUAUGUUUAU